This 467-nucleotide ribosomal RNA is filed under the name uncultured bacterium. Its description in RNAcentral is "partial 16S ribosomal RNA". It matches the Rfam family "Bacterial small subunit ribosomal RNA", at positions 28 to 507 of the family's 1533-position model. The record is from RNAcentral.
GACGAACGCUGGCGGCGUGCUUAACACAUGCAAGUCGAACGGAAAGGCCCUGCUUUUGUGGGGUGCUCGAGUGGCGAACGGGUGAGUAACACGUGAGUAACCUGCCCUUGACUUUGGGAUACUUCAGGAAACUGGGGCUAAUACCGGAUAGGAGCUCCUGCUGCAUGGUGGGGGUUGGAAAGGUUCGGCGGUUGGGGAUGGACUCGCGGCUUAUCAGCUUGUUGGUGGGGUAGUGGCUUACCAAGGCUUUGACGGGUAGCCGGCCUGAGAGGGUGACCGGCCACAUUGGGACUGAGAUACGGCCCAGACUCCUACGGGAGGCAGCAGUGGGGAAUAUUGCACAAUGGGCGGAAGCCUGAUGCAGCAACGCCGCGUGCGGGAUGACGGCCUUCGGGUUGUAAACCGCUUUCGCCUGUGACGAAGCGUGAGUGACGGUAAUGGGUAAAGAAGCACCGGCUAACUACGUG